RNAcentral lists this transfer RNA (67 nucleotides) under Paruterina candelabraria. Its description in RNAcentral is "tRNA-Met". The record is from RNAcentral. Lineage: Eukaryota; Metazoa; Platyhelminthes; Cestoda; Cyclophyllidea; Paruterinidae.
AUACUAGUAAGUUAAUUAAACUGUGGGGUUCAUGUCCCCUUAAUACAUUAUUUUUAUGUCUAGUUGA